RNAcentral lists this transfer RNA (96 nucleotides) under Chitinophagaceae bacterium. RNAcentral describes it as "tRNA-OTHER". The record is from RNAcentral. Lineage: Bacteria; Pseudomonadati; Bacteroidota; Chitinophagia; Chitinophagales; Chitinophagaceae.
GGAGAAUCACUGGUAAAUCGAACCAUUUCAGUACAGAUCAAACCAGAAUAACUUGGGCUCAUAACCCAAAGGUCGCAGGUUCGAGUCCUGCCUCCG